This 1586-nucleotide long non-coding RNA is filed under the name Nicotiana benthamiana. Its description in RNAcentral is "long non-coding RNA (NBEN_LNC012184)". Lineage: Eukaryota; Viridiplantae; Streptophyta; Magnoliopsida; Solanales; Solanaceae. The record is from RNAcentral.
CUUGACCGAAAUGGUUUAGGUCGUCUAAUAGUAAACUACCUAAGGCAUGUUAGGCUUUUGAAUAUGCUUUUCAACAAAUAAACUGAAAUGAGAGAAUAUACUACUACAUCACUAGCCCUUUUUAACUAGAAUCAUACCGAGGGAGUACUUAUUACAACUAACUACUAUAGGAUAGUGUUCAGUUACACAUCUUACAACUAAAUGAUUCUAGUGAUUAAAACUAACUAAUACAUACACGACUAAGAUUUAGCACGCAAUAAAAAUGGACUCAGAACUUCAAAUCUCCAUUAGUUACAUUCAUGCUUCAAUUUCAACCUACAAGGACCAAGGUAUUAAUUUGUGUACCUGUUAUUCGAAAAGCAAAGGUGAGGAAAAUCAGUAGAAGCAACAGUAGCACACACAACAACAACAGGUUCGGCAACACAACAAAACUAGCAGAAUCCAGUAAUGACCAGUGGAAUGACCCAGUGACAGAUUUAAACCAAACAGAAAACCAAGAAACCAAUGCAUAGUACUUGAACACCAACAGAAAUCCACAAAUACCACACUGAAAAUCCAAUAAUACCCAAAAUUCACUCACAAUUACAGUAGAAGUGAGGUAGGUGGAGAGAGAAAUAUUUCUGCUUUUGAAUAGUCAAAGAAAACAAACAGGCUGAAGUUCUUUUUAAUAAAGUUCAGCCUCCACCUAUAUUUCCUCCCUUUGGAUUUUUUUCUCUCAAAUGUUUACUUAACCGAUUGUUCUCUUCUCAUUAAUCUGUUUCAACCUCAUUUUAUAGGAAUUCAACUGAGUGGAUUUGCCACUGCCAAUUCAACAUUUCAAUUUAAAAUUAUCCAUUGAAUUAGUGACCUUUUUAAUUAAUCUAGUAAUGCAAUUUCUACCCAUACCAUCACAGAAACUUCCAAAUUAGGUGGACAACUUGAAUUAACUUAACUAAUCAGUUCAAACAGGAAUUAACCUCUGUCGGACUGAUUUACAUUAAUCUAACUACAAGAUGAAUUUAAAAUAUUUAACACAAACGGGUAUCAUACUUAAUGUAAUAAACUUGCAAUAUAAUUUGAACAACAAAUAACGAACAUGGUAGUCUAUAUCGGACGACUGGUAGAAUUUUAAUUAAAAUUGACCAAAAGAAAAAGAAGGAAGAAAGUGAUAAAUAUUAACAUAAUAAUUACGUAAACAGAAAACUUACCAAUUUGAGCCGAUUAAUUUGGAAAGACGCUUCGAAUCUUCUAAAAUUCCAGCCAAAUUUUAUAUUAAUUGUGUAUUCUUAUCAAGAAUACACGAAUAAAACCAAACUUGGCGCAUAAUUUCGAUAACCUUCCAAUUUGGGUGAUUUUGGGAAUUUAGGGUUCAUCGCCUAAUCUAAAAUUCGAGCAGUUUUUGGAGGAUUGAGGGAAAUUGUCAUGAGAUUUGUGACGUGGGUGGCUUGGUGGCCAUCUGGUGUUAUUUUGGGGCUGAUCAGAGCCGCUGCCGCCACCGGAGAAGGUAGAGAGUUAGGAGGCGGCGCUAGGCUUAGGGGGUGGUCUCUGAGGGUGAGGGUGAAUGAGGGAGACGAGGUGGGGUUUGGGGUAUAUUAAAUGGGUUUUUA